CCCGCAAGGUUAAAACUCAAAUGAAUUGACGGGGACCCGCACAAGUAGUGGAGCAUGUGGUUUAAUUCGAAGAUACGCGCAGAACCUUACCAACACUUGACAUGUUCGUCGCGACUCUAAGAGAUUAGAGUUUUCGGUUCGGCCGGACGAAACACAGGUGCUGCAUGGCUGUCGUCAGCUCGUGUCGUGAGAUGUUGGGUUAAGUCCCGCAACGAGCGCAACCCUCACUUUUCGUUGCCAUCAUUAAGUUGGGCACUCUGAAAGAACUGCCAGUGAUAAGCUGGAGGAAGGUGGGGAUGACGUCAAGUCCUCAUGGCCCUUACGUGUUGGGCUACACACGUGCUACAAUGGUAUCUACAACAGGAAGCAAGACUGCGAAGUUAAGCAAAUCCCUAAAAGAUACCUCAGUUCGGAUUGCACUCUGCAACUCGAGUGCAUGAAGCUGGAAUUACUAGUAAUCGUGGAUCAGCGUGCCACGGUGAAUGCGUUCCCGGGUCUUGUACACACCGCCCGUCACACCAUGGGAGUUGGUUCUACCUUAAGGCAAGGUUUCAAACCCUUGACCACGGUAUAGUCAGCGACUGGGGUGAAGUCGUAACAAGGUAGC
Molecule: ribosomal RNA, 607 nt
Filed under: uncultured alpha proteobacterium kpj374rc
Lineage: Bacteria; Pseudomonadati; Pseudomonadota; Alphaproteobacteria
Description: bacterial SSU rRNA
Rfam family: Bacterial small subunit ribosomal RNA
Source: RNAcentral